GACGAACGCUGGCGGCGUGCUUAACACAUGCAAGUCGAACGGAAAGGCCCUGCUUUGGUGGGGUGCUCGAGUGGCGAACGGGUGAGUAACACGUGAGUAACCUGCCCUUGACUUUGGGAUAACUUCAGGAAACUGGGGCUAAUACCGGAUAGGAGCUCCUGCUGCAUGGUGGGGGUGGGAAAGUUUCGGCGGUUGGGGAUGGACUCGCGGCUUAUCAGCUUGUUGGUGGGGUAGUGGCUUACCAAGGCUUUGACGGGUAGCGGGCCUGAGAGGGUGACCGGCCACAUUGGGACUGAGAUACGGCCCAGACUCAUACGGGAGGCAGCAGUGGGGAAUAUUGCACAAUGGGCGGAAGCCUGAUGCAGCAACGCCGCGUGCGGGAUGACGGCCUUCGGGUUGUAAACCGCUUUCGCCUGUGACGAAGCGUGAGUGACGGUAAUGGGUAAAGAAGCACCGGCUAACUACGUG
Molecule: ribosomal RNA, 468 nt
Filed under: uncultured bacterium
Lineage: Bacteria
Description: partial 16S ribosomal RNA
Rfam family: Bacterial small subunit ribosomal RNA
Source: RNAcentral